Molecule: long non-coding RNA, 377 nt
Organism: Lycium ferocissimum
Lineage: Eukaryota; Viridiplantae; Streptophyta; Magnoliopsida; Solanales; Solanaceae
Exons: 2
Source: RefSeq, a predicted model, not a curated record
AAGCAGAAGAAUAUCGGAAAGGAUGAUACACAGAAAAUGGAGCUUGCUAACUGGUCCCGCUGCUAUUCUCGGCGGUAUCGUUGGUACUAUUGUCGUUGCCAACUUUAUCUUCGUUCAAAAUGAUCCAUUCCUUAAGCCAGAACGGAAGCUGGAGAAGGCACCUUCAACCAAGUAAAAAUAAUUAGAUGUGUGAGAUUGUCUGGUUUGAGGUUUCCGCUUGUUAGGUCUGUCGUUACAUUUUGGCCAAAUAAAGUGAAUAUUUGACAUCAGCUUGAAUGUAGGUUUCCAUUCGUUGUUUAUGUUGACUUUGUUGUGGACUCAUUCAAGUCUCUUCAUAAAAUAUGAAACUAUGCCCUCAAACAAAAGUUAGGUUGGAA